Molecule: long non-coding RNA, 873 nt
Organism: Amphiprion ocellaris (clown anemonefish)
Lineage: Eukaryota; Metazoa; Chordata; Actinopteri; Pomacentridae
Source: Ensembl
AUGAGGUGUAGUCAGACCAUUCUACAGUUGCAGAAUGAUAAUGAGGUGUAAUCAGACCAUUCUACAGAAUUACAGAAUUAGGAUGUGUAAUCAGACCAUUCUACAGAGUUACAGAAUGAUAAUGAGGUGCAAUCAGACCAUUCUACAGAGCUACAGAAUGAUAAUGAGGUGUAGUCAGACCAUUCUACAGAGUUACAGAAUGAUAAUGAGGUGUAAUCAGACCAUUCUACAGAGUUACAGAAUGCUCUGUCACUGUGUGAGAUGAAGAUUUUUGUGGGUAAAAUAGUGAAAUAAUAUUGAGCAUUAUAGGUUCCCUUUAAUACUGAAACAGUUUAUUAAGCUAAUUAAAACAAGAAAACAAUGUUUAUGUCUCAUUUUAUCAGAAUUAUUUUUUUAAAACUACUAAAAAUAAGGAGCAGGCUAACAGAAUAACUUACUUAGUAGCUCGUUUUUUGUUUUUUUUUUGUUUUUUUUUUUUAAAAAAAAGCUGAAAUAUCACUGCUGUAAGUUUUAUUUUCCAUCGUGUGAAUGUGGACUGACUUUAAACUGACCAGUAGGAGCUGUUGUUUUUGUUGAGUGGUGAGCUGAUGAUGUCAUUUCCUGUAGCUGAGAAGGCGUCCCGUGACGUUGAACCUCCUGCAUGAAGCUUCACUCACAUGUUGAGCAGCUCAGACAGCUGUGGAGCGUGUAGAUAGAAACCUGAUAUUUACCUGGUUCUGUGGUAUUCACGUGUAUUUCUGUACUAUAGUCUGAGUAGUGUAAAUACUCUGUACUGCACAUUGUGUACUUUCAUAUAGUGUGGUAUUCUGCACACAGCUGCAUGAACAUUACCCAUCAGCCUCAUGUUGUAUCUCCAUGUAGAGUUCAUCAUUA